AUUGAACGCUGGCGGCAGGCCUAACACAUGCAAGUCGAACGAGUGGCGGACGGGUGAGUAAUGUAUGGGAAACUGCCCGAUGGAGGGGGAUAACUACUGGAAACGGUAGCUAAUACCGCAUACCAUCGGAUGUGCCCCGAUCGGAUUAGCUAGUAGGGGGGGUAAUGGCUCACCUCGGCGACGAUCCCUAGCUGGUUUGUGAGGAUGACCAGCCACACUGGAACUGAGACAGGGUCCAGACUCCUAAGGGAGGUAGCAGUGGGGAAGAUUGGACAAUGGGGGCAAGCAUGAGUCAGCCAUGCCGCGUGUAUGAAGAAGGCCUUCGGGUUGUAAAGUACUUGUAGCGGUGAUGCGUUACCCGCAGAAUAAGCACCGGCUAACUCCGUGACAGCAGCCGCGGUAAUAC
RNAcentral lists this ribosomal RNA (406 nucleotides) under uncultured bacterium. Its description in RNAcentral is "partial 16S ribosomal RNA". It matches the Rfam family "Bacterial small subunit ribosomal RNA", at positions 30 to 526 of the family's 1533-position model. The record is from RNAcentral.